This 522-nucleotide ribosomal RNA is filed under the name uncultured bacterium. RNAcentral describes it as "bacterial SSU rRNA". It matches the Rfam family "Bacterial small subunit ribosomal RNA", at positions 988 to 1509 of the family's 1533-position model. The record is from RNAcentral.
CCAGAGAAUUUAGCAGAGAUGCUUUAGUGCCUUCGGGAACUCUGAGACAGGUGCUGCAUGGCUGUCGUCAGCUCGUGUUGUGAAAUGUUGGGUUAAGUCCCGCAACGAGCCGCAACCCCUAUCCUUUGUUGCCAGCGAUUCGGUCGGGAACUCAAAGGAGACUGCCGGUGAUAAACCGGAGGAAGGUGGGGAUGACGUCAAGUCAUCAUGGCCCUUACGAGUAGGGCUACACACGUGCUACAAUGGCGCAUACAAAGAGAAGCGACCUCGCGAGAGCAAGCGGACCUCAUAAAGUGCGUCGUAGUCCGGAUUGGAGUCUGCAACUCGACUCCAUGAAGUCGGAAUCGCUAGUAAUCGUAGAUCAGAAUGCUACGGUGAAUACGUUCCCGGGCCUUGUACACACCGCCCGUCACACCAUGGGAGUGGGUUGCAAAAGAAGUAGAUAGCUUAACCUUCGGGAGGGCGUUUACCACUUUGUGAUUCAUGACUGGGGUGAAGUCGUAACAAGGUAGGCGUAGCGAG